RNAcentral lists this ribosomal RNA (303 nucleotides) under uncultured bacterium. Its description in RNAcentral is "partial 16S ribosomal RNA". It matches the Rfam family "Bacterial small subunit ribosomal RNA", at positions 507 to 807 of the family's 1533-position model. The record is from RNAcentral.
AGCAGUCGCCGCGGGAAAACGUAGGUGGCAAGCGUUGUCCGGAAUUAUUGGGCGUAAAGGGCUCGCAGGCGGUUUCUUAAGUCUGAUGUGAAAGCCCCCGGCUCAACCGGGGAGGGUCAUUGGAAACUGGGAAACUUGAGUGCAGAAGAGGAGAGUGGAAUUCCACGUGUAGCGGUGAAAUGCGUAGAGAUGUGGAGGAACACCAGUGGCGAAGGCGACUCUCUGGUCUGUAACUGACGCUGAGGAGCGAAAGCGUGGGGAGCGAACAGGAUUAGAUACCCCGGUAGUCCCUGUCUCUUAUAC